Molecule: long non-coding RNA, 1806 nt
Filed under: Citrus x clementina
Lineage: Eukaryota; Viridiplantae; Streptophyta; Magnoliopsida; Sapindales; Rutaceae
Description: Citrus clementina (C. clementina) long non-coding RNA (CCLE_LNC006102)
Source: RNAcentral
GCGGACGAAGUUGGCCAGCCCCACCCCCCAAGGCUAUAGCCCACCCGUUUUUAUGGGCUUUUUCCGCUAGACGAACUUGGCGCCCUGGCCUUCGGGCGGCUAUUUUUGGGUGCGGCUGUGCCCGCGGCCUAUUUUUGGCACACGGAGGUGCCUCGCAAAGUCUCCCGGCAAUCCGAGUCUGGAGGACGAAGUUGGCCAGCCCCACCCCCCAAGGCUAUAGCCCACCCGUUUUUGUGGCCUUUUUCCGCUGGACGAACUUGGCGCCCCGGCCUUCGGGUGGUUAUUUUUGGGUGCGGCUGUGCCUGUGGCCUAUUUUUGGCACACAGAGGCGCCUCGCAAAGUCUGGCGCCAUUCCGAGUCCGGCGGACGAAGUUGGCCAGCCCCACCCCCCAAGGCUAUAACCCACCCGUUUUUGUGGGCUUUUUCCGCUCGACGAACUUCGCGCCCCGGCCUUCGGGCCGUUAUUUUUGGGCGCGGCUGUGCCAACGGCCUAUUUUUUGCACACUGAGGUGCCUCGCAAAGUCUCCCGCCAUUCCGAGUCCGGCGGACGAGUUUGGCCAGCCCCACCCCCCAAGGCUAUAGCCCACCCGUUUUUGUGGGCUUUUUCCGCUGGACGAACUUGGCGCCGCGGCCUUCGGCCGCUUAUUUUUGGAUGUGGCUGUGCCCGCGGCCUAUUUUUGGCACACGGAGGCACCUCGCAAAGUCUCACGCCAUUCCGAGUCCGGCAGACGAAGUUGGCCAGCCCCACCCCCCAAGGCUAUAACCCACCCGUUUUUGUGGGCUUUUUCCGCUCGACGAACUUCGCGCCCCGGCCUUCGGGCCGUUAUUUUUGGGCGCGGCUGUGCCAGCGGCCUAUUUUUUGCACACUGAGGUGCCUCGCAAAGUCUCGCGCCAUUCCGAGUCCGGCGGACGAGUUUGGCCAGCCCCACCCCCCAAGGCUAUAGCCCACCCGUUUUUGUGGGCUUUUUCCGCUGGACGAACUUGGCGCCCCGGCCUUCGGCCGCUUAUUUUUGGAUGUGGCUGUGCCCGCGGCCUAUUUUUGGCACACGGAGGCACCUCGCAAAGUCUCGCGCCAUUCCGAGUCCGGCAGACGAAGUUGGCCAGCCCCACCCCCCAAGGCUAUAGCCCACCCGUUUUUGUGGGCUUUUUCCGCUGGACGAACUUGGCGCCCCGGCCUUCGGGCUGUUAUUUUUGGGCACGGCUGUGCCCGCGGCCUAUCUUUGGCAGACGGAGGUGCCUCGCAAAGUCUCGCGCCAUUCCGAGUCCGGCGGACAAAGUUGGCCAGCCCCACCCACCAAGGCUAUAGCCCACCCGUUUUUGUGGGCUUUUUCCGCUGGGCGAGCUUGGCGCCCCGGCCUUCGGGCAGUUAUUUUUUGGCGCGGCUGUGCCCGCGGCCUAUUUUUGGCACACGGAGGUGCCUCACAAAGUCUCGUGCCAUUCCGAGUCCGGCGGACGAAGGUGGCCAGCCCCACCCCCCAAGGCUAUCGCACACCCGUUUUUGUGGGCUUUUUCCGCUGGAUGAACUUGGCGCCCCGGCCUUCGGGCGGUUAUGUUUGGGCGCGGCUGUGCCCGCGGCCUAUUUUUGGCACACGGAGGAACCUCGCAAAGUCUCACACCAUUCCGAGUCCGGCGGACGAAGUUGGCCAGCCCCACACCCCAAGGCUAUAGCCCACCCGUUUUUGUGGGCUUUUUCCGCUGGACGAACUGCCGCCCCGGCCAUCGGGCAGUUAUUUUUGGGCGCGGCUUUGCCCGCGGCCUAUUUUUGGCACACACAGGCCCCUGGCAAAGUCUCGCGGCAUUCCGAGC